Molecule: long non-coding RNA, 808 nt
Organism: Parus major (Great Tit)
Lineage: Eukaryota; Metazoa; Chordata; Aves; Passeriformes; Paridae
Exons: 5
Source: RefSeq, a predicted model, not a curated record
GAUUUUGCCAGGAGUGUGACCAGAUAAAUAGAAGGUGAUUAAAAUUAAUGAAGCUGUGAAAACCUUGAAAGCCUCAGCUAAACAGAGAAUUUUUAAGCCUGGUUUCACACUAAAAUGAAACAAUCAACUCCCUAGAAUGAAAUGCUGUCAGCUUUCAAGCUGGAGUUUCAUCUUGGAUAUGAGACUGUUCUACGACCCAUGCAGCCCCACUGUGCAAAUGGGCUGAAAUCGUGUUGUCUCCUCUGGGGUUUUCUGUAGGAAAUUCAUACCACUUCCUCAUAGUUUAAAAGCUGGAGAUGAUGAAAUGGGAUUGUCUGACCUCCUGGAAGUCUCACUACUGGCUGUCCAUUAACAUACACCUUUUGCAGCAGGCUACUUUCUCAGACAUUCAUAUUAUCGGGGCAGAGAAGGUCGUUUCCUUCUGCACUCAGAUUCCAAAUGAGAGCCAGGUUUGGAGCCUUUUGGAUUCCUCCUGGGGGAAUCUGCUCCUACAGCAAAUACAGAAAACUUUCAAGAAAAACUGGAGCCUGCAGUUCUUCACUGCGAGACAGAUCAGUCUUGAUAAGCUGAGGAAUAAGAAGGAUGAUUAUCCCUUCUUCUAUUCACAUGCAACAUUAAAUACUCUCAGUUUAAACAUGCCUGAAUGUUUUCUUACCAAGAAGUGAGUCAUCUUCACUGUUUUCUACUAACCAUUAACCAAUGCAUGAUCUGGAAGAUCACACUGCUAGUGGCUGUGGCUGAACAAGGCAGCUAACCCAUUUUGGUCUCAAGGAUGUGUUUGGGUCCGCUCCUGAAAAGCAGCUCAUGG